Molecule: ribosomal RNA, 492 nt
Filed under: uncultured bacterium
Lineage: Bacteria
Description: partial 16S ribosomal RNA
Rfam family: Bacterial small subunit ribosomal RNA
Source: RNAcentral
AGUGAACGCUGGCGGUAGGCCUAACACAUGCAAGUCGAACGGCAGCACAGUAAGAGCUUGCUCUUACGGGUGGCGAGUGGCGGACGGGUGAGGAAUACAUCGGAAUCUACUUUUUCGUAGGGGAUAACGUAGGGAAACUUACGCUAAUACCGCAUACGACCUACGGGUGAAAGCAGGGGAUCUUCGGACCUUGCGCGAUUGAAUGAGCCGAUGUCGGAUUAGCUAGUUGGCGGGGUAAAGGCCCACCAAGGCGACGAUCCGUAGCUGGUCUGAGAGGAUGAUCAGCCACACUGGAACUGAGACACGGUCCAGACUCCUACGGGAGGCAGCAGUGGGGAAUAUUGGGCAAUGGGCGCAAGCCUGAUCCAGCCAUACCGCGUGGGUGAAGAAGGCCUUCGGGUUGUAAAGCCCUUUUGUUGGGAAAGAAAAGCAGCAGGUUAAUACCCCGCUGUUCUGACGGUACCCAAAGAAUAAGCACCGGCUAACUUCGUG